AAGUCGAGCGAACAGACGAGGAGCUURCUCCUCUUGACGUUAGCGGCGGACGGGUGAGUAACACGUGGAUAACCUACCUAUAAGACUGGGAUAACUUCGGGAAACCGGAGCUAAUACCGGAUAACAUGUUGAACCGCAUGGUUCAMAGUUGAAAGACGGUCUUGCUGUCACUUAUAGAUGGAUCCGCGCCGCAUUAGCUAGUUGGUAAGGUAACGGCUUACCAAGGCAACGAUGCGUAGCGACCUGAGAGGGUGAUCGGCCACACUGGAACUGAGACACGGUCCAGACUCCUACGGGAGGCAGCAGUAGGGAAUCUUCCGCAAUGGGCGAAAGCUGACGGAGCAACGCCGCGUGAGUUAAGAAGGUCUUCGGAUCGUAAAACUCUGUUAUUAGGGAAGAACAAAUGUGUAAGUAACUAUGCACGUCUUGACGGUACCUAAUCAGAAAGCCACGGCUAACUACGUGCCAACAGCCGCGGUAAUACGUAGGUGGCAAGCGUUAUCCGGAAUUAUUKGGCGUAAAGCGCGCSURGGCGGUUUUUUUAAGUCUUAAUGUGAAAGCCCACGGGUBAACCGUUG
RNAcentral lists this ribosomal RNA (578 nucleotides) under Staphylococcus sp. S5-34. RNAcentral describes it as "bacterial SSU rRNA". It matches the Rfam family "Bacterial small subunit ribosomal RNA", at positions 59 to 618 of the family's 1533-position model. The record is from RNAcentral. Lineage: Bacteria; Bacillati; Bacillota; Bacilli; Caryophanales; Staphylococcaceae.